RNAcentral lists this ribosomal RNA (253 nucleotides) under uncultured bacterium. RNAcentral describes it as "partial 16S ribosomal RNA". It matches the Rfam family "Bacterial small subunit ribosomal RNA", at positions 524 to 776 of the family's 1533-position model. The record is from RNAcentral.
UACGUAGGGGGCUAGCGUUGUCCGGAUUUAUUGGGCGUAAAGAGCGUGUAGGCGGCCAGGUAGGUCUGCUGUGAAAACUCGAGGCUCAACCUCGAGCUGUCGGCGGAAACCAUCUGGCUAGAGUCCGGAAGAGGAGAGUGGAAUUCCUGGUGUAGCGGUGAAAUGCGCAGAUAUCAGGAAGAACACCCGUGGCGAAGGCGACUGUCUGGGGUUUUGCUGACGCUGAGGCACGAAAGCCAGGGGAGCGAACGGG